UGGUUUGACACACCGCUGAGCUGAGCGGUGUCUCACACCAUCCAGUGCAGUGCAGCAACAACGAUAAGCUAAUACAAAAUAAAUUAAAACCAUAUGAAAUUAUUCAAAAUAUACAAAUAUAGAAGACGUUUUCAGUAGCAAAAUGAUCGUUAAUAGUACAGUUAGAUUGAAAAUUAAAAAAUAAGUUAUAAAUUGCCGAAACCCGGGAUUGAACCGGGGACCUUUAGAUCUUCAGUCUAACGCUCUCCCAACUGAGCUAUUUCGGCACUUGGCAAAUUCCUGGCCCCGAACGCAGCAUUUUAAAUGAAAUCCCGUUCAAAUUAUACUAAUCCUGAUUUUAUGGAAUCGAUCUAAACUGAAGCCGAGAUUAGCAGCAGGCUUUCGAUUAAAUGGAAACUUCCCAGAGUUCUGCAUAAAUUACUCCCUUCAUUUAUGAACAAUAGUGGCAUUCACUUGGGCCUAAAUUCCCAUAGCUUUAAAAAUCAAAUAAAUUUAGUUAAAUCAUAAAUAUUUGUGCAUUCUAUUGGCCCACAUUAAAUGGUGGGAAACAGUUCGUUUAUUAAGCGGAGUAUCCAAAUUUGUGGUUUUGGCUAAUGGAUUCAAAAACUGACGUCACUUAAGCAUGGGAAACUUCCAGUGUUUUUGCGGUUUUUCGAUUAUAUGUAUGUAAGUGUGGAAAAUAACUAGCACCUGGGGGGCAAUGCAUUUUAAUUAAGCGAACUGAUAAAACCGAUCGAGCCAAAAUAAGCUCGACUGCAUUGUCCCUUUUCUGUUAGUCAUUUAUUAGCGCGUUCGUUCUGGACAUGGCCGUAAAAAUGCCCGUUGCUAAUCGGCCGGCGAUCAAAAAUAAGACUGCGGAUCAAACCGGUCGAAGGAGGCGGUACUCCACCGCUCACCGCUCACCACUCACCGAUGGCCACUGACCAGUGGCCAGUGACCAGUGACCACUCACCACUUACCAAAUCCUGCGGCAAAUCCGAGUUCUUUGCGCAGUCAAACGCCAAGCAAAAAGUGAAAAACAAUACAUUUAUUGUUUUGUAAUUGGCGCGAAUUCAACGCUCGAGUGACGCUCGAUCGCUUGGAUCGCUUCCAUCUCUUGAGGUCAAGUGUCGAGGAACUGGUGUGUCUGUCGCAACUGCUGCACGUGCCAUGUCGUCCGUAGCUCCACGUCCAUUUCGCUGCCCCAAGGAUCCGGUUCCACACACACACACACGGUGGCACUUAACUGGAGCUGCCAACCGAGGGUUUGGGCCUUGGAAUGCGCGGCUCGUGGGCGUUCAAGCAAGACCAUAAGCAAAAGAAACAGAACACUGCUCCCAGAACGAACCAAAGCCUGGCCACCACCCACCACCCAUCACCCACUGCUCACGUGCACAGAGCGAAAAUUUGGCUAUUUUAUGAGAUUACAUUAUGUGGCCAAGCAUUUGAUUUGCACGACGAUCAAUUCAUUAUUCUCUGUGCACUCGAACUUGAGACUACUAGAGCAGCCCAACCCACCCACUCGACGAGUAGCAAAACCCAACCAACU
This is a long non-coding RNA of Drosophila simulans, 1528 nucleotides long. RefSeq lists it as uncharacterized. The transcript has 3 exons. The record is from RefSeq and is a predicted model, not a curated record. Lineage: Eukaryota; Metazoa; Arthropoda; Insecta; Diptera; Drosophilidae.